Long non-coding RNA from Daucus carota subsp. sativus, 480 nucleotides. RefSeq lists it as uncharacterized. The record is from RefSeq and is a predicted model, not a curated record. Lineage: Eukaryota; Viridiplantae; Streptophyta; Magnoliopsida; Apiales; Apiaceae. The transcript has 3 exons.
GCUUUCCUUUGUAUGAACAUCGUUUGAUGUAUGUUAGAUAUUUAAAACUUAUAAUUUAUUCACGUAAUUGACUAUCUGCUCUGUUUCUUAAUUGACUAUCAGAUCUUAUGUUACCAGGAUAAUGGGCACUUAGAAGGUUGCACAAGUAGCAAUGGAAAAUCGUCUUUCAGUCCUCAUGUUCAGAAUACAUUGAGGCAAGAGAUACUGCAACUUGAAAAAAGAUUGCUGGACCAAGUUGCAGUCCAUGGUGUGCUAGAAAAGACGCUUGGUCGCAUGCCUGUAUCCCAUGAUCCAAAAAAUGAGAUACCAUUGCCUAAGCCGACGACUAAACUGAUAAAAGACAUCUCAGAGUUAAGGCUACUUCUAACGAUUGCUUUUUUCCAAGUCUGAAAACUUUUAUGAUGAUUGCCAAGAAAGAGAGUUCACCAGAAUUGCCGCAAGUAUCAUCAUCAAUUCAUUCGGCCACUGGUUUAUAUGGGG